Molecule: transfer RNA, 98 nt
Organism: Tuber melanosporum (Perigord truffle)
Lineage: Eukaryota; Fungi; Ascomycota; Pezizomycetes; Pezizales; Tuberaceae
Rfam family: tRNA
About the family: Transfer RNA (tRNA) molecules are approximately 80 nucleotides in length.
Source: Rfam
GCCCGGUUAGCUCAGUGGUAGAGCGUGUGGCUUUUAUCUUCGGAUAUCUGCAUUGUUCAGAAACCUCAAUGUCGCGGGUUCGACCCCCGCAUCGGGCU